RNAcentral lists this long non-coding RNA (1392 nucleotides) under Homo sapiens (human). RNAcentral describes it as "non-protein coding ZBED3-AS1:57". The record is from RNAcentral. Lineage: Eukaryota; Metazoa; Chordata; Mammalia; Primates; Hominidae.
GUGGCCUGCUGACUGCAUCUGCCAGAUGACUACCAAUGUGAGAUUCUCUCUCCCUUGCUGUCUUUGAAAAAGCAAGUUGCCAUGUGAAGAGGGCCAUAUAGCAUAGGAGCUGAAGGCAGCCUCCAACUGACGGCAAGAAAAUGAGGUCCUCAGUCUGACAACCUGCAAGAAACUGAAUGUUCUAAAAGCCACAUGAGCUUGGGAGCAGAUCUGACCCCAGCCAAAUCUCUGAAGUCCGCAGGCAGGAAAUGAAGAUCAGAAAAAGGCUAUUGUCUCAUGAAUAUGAGCCAGACUCCACAGAAGCUGGAGUCCUUCAUUAUGGAGCUAAACACAUACACCUGGCUUAGGAGUCAGAAAAACUGAAAGAGAAUUCAGGGAAGUAGAGAAAUUGCAAGCCCAGAUGCUGCUUCAUACCAAAGAAGCAAGUCAGCAGGUCAGCAACAAUGUGUAUCAGUUCCAAAAUGACUUACACAGGUACCAAGACAAGACAUUAUAUACACUUAUAUAGUCAAAUACUUUAAAACUGUUAACAAACUUGCUACAAUUGUCUCAUUUGUCUUUUAACCUUAAUAUCACAGAUCAAGUUUGUAAUCUCAAAAGUUCACCCUGGCUGCUGUGUGGAGUAUUCUCUUAUCUGCUCAUAUUACACUGUGCUUAUUCAUUCAUCAGUUAAUGGAAAUUUGGGUUGUUUCCUGAUUUUGACUGUAAUGAAUAAUGUUGCUGUAAACAUUCAUGUACAGUUUUGUGUGGACAUGCUUUUCUUUCUCUUGGGUAGGUUCCUAUGAGUGGAAUCACUAGAUUGUAUGGUAAAUGUAUGUUUAACUUUUAAAGAAACUGUCAAACUGUUUUCUAACAUGAACGGGCCAUUUUACGUUCUUAUCAACAAUAUAUGAUGGUUUCAAUUUUCCCACAUCCUCACCAACAUUUGGUAUUGUCUCUCUUUUACAUCAUAACUAUUUUAGUGGGGAUGUAGUGAUAUCUUAUCGUGGUUUUAAUUUGUGUCUCCCUAAUGACUAAUGAUAUUGUGCAUCUUUGCAUAUGCUUGUUAGCCAUUUAUGUACAUUCUUUAGUGAAAUGGCUAUUCAAAUCUUCUGCCCAUUUAAAAAUCGAGUUGUUUUUCUUAUUAUUCAGUUGUAAGAGUUUUUUCUUUAUUCUGUGCAAAAGUCCUUUAUCAAGUCUAGGAUUUUUGAAUAUUUUCUCAACCUAGAGCUUGUUUUUCAACAUUUUUUUCUUAAUGAUCUUUUGAAGUGCAAAAGUUUGAUUUUGAUGAAGUCUAAUGUAUCACUUCUUCCUUUAACUGUCAUGAUUUUUGUGUCGUAUCUAAGAACUCUUUACCCAACUCAAAGUUACCAAGGUAUUUUCUUCCAGAAGUUUUGCAGUUUUAACUCUUCU